CCAGGACUAUGUAUCGCCGACCCUUUCAUUUAUAUAUGCACAUGCGGAAGCAGUUAUAAAUCCCCAGACAAUAAAGCAAUGGGAUAGAAAAGCAGGCCAUAUAUUUUUCUUACUGAAAAUUCACAACUACAUCUUUUUACAUGCAAACAAGGUCUGACAAGACAGGAUAGGAUUUCGGUCCUCAUUCGGGUCGUACUCGAUGUCAUACUCGGGGUCCUCCUCCACGUACUCCUCUUUGGGUUCCUCAACAGUGAUCUCCUCAUCAGAUUCAUGCUCCUUAGGCUCCUCAUCCAGGUCCUAAAAUGGUUAUUCAAUAACCACUGAGACAACGUCUCAGCAAGUUCUACCUCCUAAGACCCGAUUAGUAAACUAAUACACCUUAGGGCUGCCUAUGCACAACAUGAGUCAAAGAACUUACCUUAGCCUCAGAUUCCACCUGCAUAUUAGUACAGAUCAAAUAGGCACACAGGCA
This 472-nucleotide long non-coding RNA is filed under the name Eucalyptus grandis. RNAcentral's name for it is "long non-coding RNA (EGRA_LNC005977)". Lineage: Eukaryota; Viridiplantae; Streptophyta; Magnoliopsida; Myrtales; Myrtaceae. The record is from RNAcentral.